AGGGAAGAAAGGACCCAGGCAACUUACUCACAACUGUCGUCUUAAACUUGUUGUUGUCAUAUUCGGCUCCACAGAUUUCCACCUCCACAAAGGGACAUGCAAUACUUCGUCCAGGCUUGGGGAGGUGGCGAGCCCCGAGAACCUAGGACACCAAAGCCAGAAAAUGUCCUCAUGGGGACCCAGGAGAUAACCUGCUGGACCCCACAAGGGAUGGAUUCAUACCUUAGCCCAGCAGAUGACACGGGGCCGGCCGUCAGGCGUCCCCCUCAAGCCCCUUCAUCACUCCAUUCAACUGAUGGGCCUCUCACUAGUGUGUUGGUUGAACCGUUCCUAAGACAAAUCAAACAUUCCGGGACGCUAUGUCCCACUGGU
Rhinolophus ferrumequinum (greater horseshoe bat) is the source of this 372-nucleotide long non-coding RNA. RefSeq lists it as uncharacterized. The record is from RefSeq and is a predicted model, not a curated record. Lineage: Eukaryota; Metazoa; Chordata; Mammalia; Chiroptera; Rhinolophidae. The transcript has 3 exons.